This 789-nucleotide ribosomal RNA is filed under the name uncultured bacterium. RNAcentral's name for it is "bacterial SSU rRNA". It matches the Rfam family "Bacterial small subunit ribosomal RNA", at positions 8 to 794 of the family's 1533-position model. The record is from RNAcentral.
AGAGUUUGAUCCUGGCUCAGGACGAACGCUGGCGGCGUGCCUAACACAUGCAAGUCGAACGGAACUGUUUUGAAAGAUUUCUUCGGAAUGAAUUUGAUUUAGUUUAGUGGCGGACGGGUGAGUAACGCGUGAGUAACCUGCCUUCAAGAGGGGGAUAACAUUCUGAAAAGAAUGCUAAUACCGCAUGACAUAUCGGAACCACAUGGUUUUGAUAUCAAAGAUUUUAUCGCUUGAAGAUGGACUCGCGUCCGAUUAGUUAGUUGGUGAGGUAACGGCUCACCAAGACCGCGAUCGGUAGCCGGACUGAGAGGUUGAACGGCCACAUUGGGACUGAGACACGGCCCAGACUCCUACGGGAGGCAGCAGUGGGGGAUAUUGCGCAAUGGGGGCAACCCUGACGCAGCAACGCCGCGUGAAGGAUGAAGGUUUUCGGAUUGUAAACUUCUUUUAUUAAGGACGAAAAUUGACGGUACUUAAUGAAUAAGCUCCGGCUAACUACGUGCCAGCAGCCGCGGUAAUACGUAGGGAGCAAGCGUUGUCCGGAUUUACUGGGUGUAAAGGGUGCGUAGGCGGCUUUGCAAGUCAGAUGUGAAAUCUAUGGGCUCAACCCAUAAACUGCAUUUGAAACUGUAGAGCUUGAGUGAAGUAGAGGCAGGCGGAAUUCCCCGUGUAGCGGUGAAAUGCGUAGAGAUGGGGAGGAACACCAGUGGCGAAGGCGGCUCUCUGGACUGUAACUGACACUGAGGCACGAAAGCGUGGAGAGCAAACAGGAUUAGAUACCCUGGUAGU